This is a long non-coding RNA of Triticum aestivum (bread wheat), 616 nucleotides long. RefSeq lists it as uncharacterized. The record is from RefSeq and is a predicted model, not a curated record. The transcript has 4 exons. NCBI's taxonomy places the organism in Eukaryota, Viridiplantae, Streptophyta, Magnoliopsida, Poales, Poaceae.
UCUGUAGGUGCCAGCGUCGAUGACAUAAUUUAUCAAUGGUGGGUUCAGUAGUAACUCAAAUCCGUUGCUCUGUAUGUGCCAGCGUGUGACGGAAAUUAUCAUUGGUGGGUCUGGUAGUAACUCAAAUCUGCUGCUAUGUUGUUUUCAGCCUGCUGCUGAGCUCUCUUUACUUUGGGCACUGUUUACCGGCAUCUCAAUCCUGACCUAGCAGGUCUGCUUACCAGCAUCAACAGCUGGAACAUGCACAUUAACUCGUUGACAUGUUUGGGCCAAACAAUAUGGAACAUGGAGGGUGUCUUGUCCUAAGACCUGAGCCAUUCACAUGUAUCGCAAUGCUUUCCCUUACCUCUGGUGCAUCAUGCAAAUGAUAUUCUGCAAUCCAGAAGAACUAGCUACUCAGAAGUGGAUGACAGUGAACAUGAGAAGCUAUGGUUUCCUGAUUUGUAGUUAUGUGUGGUGUUGUCAUGAAGCAUGGUGGUUCUGGCUUUGUGUAAAAUCAUUAUAAGUAUUGUACCUCUUUAGAGGAGUUGAACAUUGAACUAUGUAUGUGAUUCAUGUACCUGAAGUAUCCACUAUGAUGUCUAUUGCUGAAACGAAUAUAACAAUUUACUGAUAA